Molecule: unclassified non-coding RNA, 113 nt
Organism: Aotus nancymaae (Ma's night monkey)
Lineage: Eukaryota; Metazoa; Chordata; Mammalia; Primates; Aotidae
Rfam family: Y RNA
About the family: Y RNAs are components of the Ro ribonucleoprotein particle (Ro RNP), in association with Ro60 and La proteins. The Y RNAs and Ro60 and La proteins are well conserved, but the function of the Ro RNP is not known.
Source: Ensembl
GAUUGGUCAGAAGGUAGUGAGUUAUCUCAAUUGAUUCUUCACAGCCAGUUACAGAUUAAGUUCCUCAUUCUACUCUUUCCCCACUUCUUACUGCUGCACUUGACUUAUCUUGA